This 460-nucleotide ribosomal RNA is filed under the name uncultured bacterium. RNAcentral's name for it is "partial 16S ribosomal RNA". It matches the Rfam family "Bacterial small subunit ribosomal RNA", at positions 338 to 795 of the family's 1533-position model. The record is from RNAcentral.
CCUACGGGGGGCAGCAGUGAGGAAUAUUUGUCAAUGGACGAGAGUCUGAACCAGCCAAGUAGCGUGAAGGAUGACUGCCCUAUGGGUUGUAAACUUCUUUUAUAUGGGAAUAAAAUGUUCCACGUGUGGGAUUUUGUAUGUACCAUAUGAAUAAGGAUCGGCUAACUCCGUGCCAGCAGCCGCGGUAAUACGGAGGAUCCGAGCGUUAUCCGGAUUUAUUGGGUUUAAAGGGAGCGUAGGUGGAUUGUUAAGUCAGUUGUGAAAGUUUGCGGCUCAACCGUAAAAUUGCAGUUGAAACUGGCAGUCUUGAGUACAGUAGAGGUGGGCGGAAUUCGUGGUGUAGCGGUGAAAUGCUUAGAUAUCACGAAGAACUCCGAUUGCGAAGGCAGUUCACUGGACUGCAACUGACACUGAGGCUCGAAAGUGUGGGUAUCAAACAGGAUUAGAUACCCCAGUAGUC